UACGAGGGGGGCAAGCGUUGUUCGGAAUUAUUGGGCGUAAAGGGUGCGUAGGCGGUUUGGUAAGUCUUAUGUGAAAUCUACAGGCUCAACUUGUAGUCUGCAUGAGAAACUGCCGGGCUUGAGUAUGGGAGAGGUGAGUGGAAUUCCUGGUGUAGCGGUGAAAUGCGUAGAUAUCAGGAGGAACACCUGUGGCGAAAGCGGCUCACUGGACCAUAACUGACGCUGAUGCACGAAAGCGUGGGUAGCAAACAGG
Molecule: ribosomal RNA, 253 nt
Filed under: uncultured bacterium
Lineage: Bacteria
Description: partial 16S ribosomal RNA
Rfam family: Bacterial small subunit ribosomal RNA
Source: RNAcentral